UAUCUCUGUAGAGUCUGCAUAUCAAUAAGCGGAGGAAAAGAAACUAACUAGGAUUCCCUCAGUAACGGCGAGUGAAGCGGGAAGAGCUCAAAUUUGAAAUCUUCAAGGUUCUACCUUGACGAAUUGUAGUUUAAAGAAGUGUUUUCUGUUGGAGUUUUGGUAAAAGUUCUUUGGAAUAGGACAUCAUAGGGGGUGAGAAUCCCGUAUUUGACCAUUACUUUCCAGCUUUGUGAUACACUUUCAAAGAGUCGGAUUGUUUGGGAAUGCAGUCCAAAAUGGGUGGUAAAUUUCAUCUAAAGCUAAAUAUUGGCGAGAGACCGAUAGCGAACAAGUACCGUGAGGGAAAGAUGAAAAGAACUUUGAAAAGAGAGUUAAACAGUACGUGAAAUUGUCAAAAGGGAAGCGUUUGACACCAGUGUUGUUUUCUCGAAAAUCAAUUAAAAAAGGCAGGAUUUUGUGUUGUAUUGACUUUAUCAGCUUUCUGCACUCUUUUCUUGUCUUUUUUUAAUGCACUUUUCGUUUAACAAGUCAACAUCAAUUUCUUUUGUUGUAAAAGGGUCAUUGGAAGGUGGCUUUCUUUUCGGAGAAAGUGUUUAUAGCCUUUGGCCUCUGCAAUCGGAGAGAUUGAGGUCUGCAGCGUAGAUCCUUCGGGGUUAGAUACAUUUGUGCUAAGUUAUAGCCUUUCAUAGACAACUUGUUGACUAUGAUCAGUCAUGUAGCUUACUCGCUUAUGCUAUUUUACCUACGCUUAGGAUGUUGAAGAUGUAGCACAUCAU
Molecule: ribosomal RNA, 776 nt
Filed under: uncultured Neocallimastigales
Lineage: Eukaryota; Fungi; Neocallimastigomycota; Neocallimastigomycetes; Neocallimastigales
Description: partial large subunit ribosomal RNA
Rfam family: Eukaryotic large subunit ribosomal RNA
Source: RNAcentral